GAUGAACGCUGGCGGCGUGCCUAAUACAUGCAAGUCGAGCGAACGGACGAGAAGCUUGCUUCUCUGAUGUUAGCGGCGGACGGGUGAGUAACACGUGGAUAACCUACCUAUAAGACUGGGAUAACUUCGGGAAACCGGAGCUAAUACCGGAUAAUAUAUUGAACCGCAUGGUUCAAAAGUUAAAGACGGUCUUGCUGUCACUUAUAGAUGGAUCCGCGCUGCAUUAGCUAUUUGGUAAGGUAACGGCUUACCAAGGCAACGAUGCAUAGCCGACCUGAGAGGGUGAUCGGCCACCCUGGAACUGAGACACGGUCCAGACUCCUACGGGAGGCAGCAGUAGGGAAUCUUCCGCAAUGGGCGAAAGCCUGACGGAGCAACGCCGCGUGAGUGAUGAAGGUCUUCGGAUCGUAAAACUCUGUUAUUAGGGAAGAACAUAUGUGUAAGUAACUGUGCACAUCUUGACGGUACCUAAUCAGAAAGCCACGGCUAACUACGUG
RNAcentral lists this ribosomal RNA (497 nucleotides) under uncultured bacterium. RNAcentral's name for it is "partial 16S ribosomal RNA". It matches the Rfam family "Bacterial small subunit ribosomal RNA", at positions 28 to 507 of the family's 1533-position model. The record is from RNAcentral.